Non-coding RNA from Pseudonaja textilis, 147 nucleotides. The record is from RefSeq and is a predicted model, not a curated record. Lineage: Eukaryota; Metazoa; Chordata; Lepidosauria; Squamata; Elapidae.
GGAAAGCAGUGGAAUGAACCCCAGAAUGUUUCCUCCCUGCCUUCCUUACAGGAUUAGGCCAGUAAAUUUCUUCUAACAACCAGUUCUCCAAACUGCUUAGAAUGUUAAAAACUGGUUCUAUCAAAUAGGUGUGAGCUGGUAGAAUCC